UCUCAUUCGGAUCGGAGUCUGCAACCCGACUCCGUGAAGCUGGAUUCGCUAGUAAUCGCGCAUCAGCCAUGGCGCGGUGAAUACGUUCCCGGGCCUUGUACACACCGCCCGUCAAGCCAUGGGAGCCGGGGGUGCUUGAAGUGCGUCGCCGCAAGGCGCGCCCUAGAGCAAAACCGGUGACUGGGGCUAAGUCGUAACAAGGUACC
Molecule: ribosomal RNA, 206 nt
Filed under: uncultured bacterium
Lineage: Bacteria
Description: partial 16S ribosomal RNA
Rfam family: Bacterial small subunit ribosomal RNA
Source: RNAcentral